Molecule: ribosomal RNA, 549 nt
Filed under: uncultured Glomeromycotina
Lineage: Eukaryota; Fungi; Glomeromycota
Description: SSU rRNA
Rfam family: Eukaryotic small subunit ribosomal RNA
Source: RNAcentral
UUGGAGGGCAAGUCUGGUGCCAGCAGCCGCGGUAAUUCCAGCUCCAAUAGCGUAUAUUAAAGUUGUUGCAGUUAAAAAGCUCGUAGUUGAAUUUCGGGGUUAGUAGGUUGGUCAUGCCUCUGGUAUGUACUGGUCUCACUGAUUCCUCCUUCCUGAUGAAUCUUAAUGCCAUUAAUUUGGUGUUUUGGGGAAUUUGGACUGUUACUUUGAAAAAAUUAGAGUGUUUAAAGCAAGCUAACGCUUGAAUACAUUAGCAUGGAAUAAUGAAAUAGGACGUUCGAUCCUAUUUUGUUGGUUUCUAGGAUUGACGUAAUGAUUAAUAGGGAUAGUUGGGGGCAUUAGUAUUCAAUUGUCAGAGGUGAAAUUCUUGGAUUUAUUGAAGACUAACUACUGCGAAAGCAUUUGCCAAGGAUGUUUUCAUUAGUCAAGAACGAAAGUUAGGGGAUCGAAGACGAUCAGAUACCGUCGUAGUCUUAACCAUAAACUAUGCCGACUAGGGAUCGGAUGAUGUUAAUUUUUUAAUGACUCAUUCGGCGCCUUACGGGAAAC